UCACCUAUGAGAACCUCCAGGGAUCCGGGGCCCAGGAGGAGCCCCCCAGAACUGGCCAGGAGGCUGAAGGCCAGAGUCUUCCUCGGGAGACCCUCCUGAGGGUGGAGGGGCCUGCAGUGGCCCAGGGCAUCCAACCUAGGAAACAGCAGCCUGCUGCCAGGACCCAAAGCGCCCUGAUCCCGGGGCACAAGGGCAGCGCAGGGUGGAGUCCCCGGACCAGGUGGGCGGCCUUGGGAGUGCUGGCCAUCGUCCUCUUUCUCCUCUCUAUCAUCAUCAGCCUCGGGGUGCAAUACGCACAGGCCUCCCGGCAGCUCCGGCAAGCGUCCCGAGACCACGCGGCAGAGCUCAACUCCACUCUGGUGGCCCUUUGGCGCAUCUGGGCAGACAGGAACCGCACUCAGCAGCAACUGCAGCACCAGGAGCUCCUGGUGGGCCAAACCAACCGCAGCCUGGCUCUCCUGUGGAGGGAGAGGGCGAGCCUGACGGCCAACCUCAGCCGU
Molecule: non-coding RNA, 500 nt
Organism: Thamnophis sirtalis
Lineage: Eukaryota; Metazoa; Chordata; Lepidosauria; Squamata; Natricidae
Source: RefSeq, a predicted model, not a curated record